GUGGUGAGACGCCUCCUCAUCCUGUUUUAUUUUGGCUGGACUUCCUGUAUUUCCCUGUUUGCCUGGUCUGGCUUUACUCUUUUCCAGAGCUUCCUCCCCUCCCCCGGCGCUGAGGCUGAGUGAGUCGACACACCUGCUCCACAUCUCCAAUCAAGGCACUUUAAGAAGCCUGCAGCCCUCAGUCUCAGCGCCUGAGCAUUGUCUACCCUUCCUAGCGGUAAAGACGCGUCUCCUGGCCAACCUUGUUUGUAUAAUCAUCAGAACUUUGCUCCUCAUGAUUCUGUGCAUGUACUUCCAUCUCCUCUGGUUUUUCCUGCAGUGUCUCCAGCCCACACGACAGCCAGCCAACCAGCCUACCGGGCAUCCUCUGUUGCAUUAUCUACCCC
Molecule: non-coding RNA, 386 nt
Organism: Xyrichtys novacula (pearly razorfish)
Lineage: Eukaryota; Metazoa; Chordata; Actinopteri; Labriformes; Labridae
Source: the annotation of a GenBank genome assembly